GGUCUAGUGUGUGUGUGUAUGUGCGCACUCCCCCACCCUGAACCAGAACUUGGCUCACCUAGAUGUUUUGUUCAUCCAGUCUUUCCACACUGGACGACGAAAGAGGGCGUACAGUCACAGUGAAGUCAAAAUGAUGAGGAGAGGAGGGGAGAGGCUGAGAGUCCUCCAUGUUAAAUAAUCUUAUCAGGCAUGUUUCUCUAUGGCUUCAUAUGAAACCUUAUCUCGUACAGGGAAUUGAUUGGAAACAUCUGGGCCUUGUUUUGCCUCACUGUAUGACUGUCUUCAUUGUUCCUGGUUCCCCACCCCACUCCACAUGGCCCGAGUGCAUGACAGGAACCGCUCCUGGUGGACCUUUUCUUCAUGGCAACCCUCCUCCCCCUCGUUUCGUUGAAAGGACUAUUUUCUGCUCUUCUGUUCCUGGUUUCCUUUCAUGUCUCUUGCGAUAGAUUGUACCUGCCAAGUAUGAUUUGAGGGAGUGAGAAAUAGGCUUCCAUAUAUGACAGAGAAACACCUAGCAGAAGUCCAUCAGGACAGGGAGGCGGACAGCCCCUGCAAUGUGUGUUGAGGUGAGCCGUGCUGAGCUGCUGUGGACCAGCAGGCCAAAGGCUGCAGGAGGAACAGGCUGAAGCUCAGCAGGACCCAUAUGGCCUUCUGGAGUUGAGCCUCAGCUAUGUGGCACAAGAGGAAAACAUACACACAGGUGUGUUCCAAUCUUAUCGAAUCAACAAAUCCAAAAGUAGAAUCAUCUAUACAAAUAUUUGCUCUAGUUCAUAAACACCCACUCAUUCAAACACUGCAAAUGCUAAGAUAUGAGUUCAGUAUACUGCUGUGCUGAAACCAUCCUGCUUAUUUAACUCUUAAGACUCAUUUUUAAUCAAAGAUAAACUUUAGUUUAAAAACCGAACACCUCAGUUACAGCUUUUCCACAAACUAUGGGCCUAUUUGCACUUGUCACUCUAUCUGAUCAAAGAAAAUGCAUGAAGUGGCAUCUUCUACAUUUUGAAUUAAAUAUUAGAUUAAAACAUUCCCAAUCCCCUUAAUAAACAGGAAGGUGUAUAUUAAUAGGGUCUAAAUCUCAUAUUUUUGAUCUUCUAUACAUACUACUUAAAAAGAUCAUGAGAUUUAGACCCUAUUAAUGUUCUACAAGCAGCUUUAUACAACAUGAGUAGGUUAGUCUUAUGGGGGGUAAACAUGGAGAUUACACAAUCAGCCCAACAGUAGGCCUACUUGUCAGUAACCUGUUAGAAGUUUAUUCACCGUCAUGACUGAAAGGCUUACUUUGGUGUGAUACCGCAACCACACCACCAGGUGUCAGUAAGAUUACAACUGCCAACUCAGCCAUUCAAGCUAAUCAAGAUUACACCUGUCCCCAAUAGUAGCACUUCCGGUAUUUGCACUUGACUUGUAUGAAAUAUUUACUGUAUUUGGUGCAAGUGGGCAUUAAGACUAACCCUGCAUCUCAAUCAGCUCCCUAGGCUGUGAAUCAGUAUAUCAUGUAAAUGAAUGUGGCGGAUUCCCUGAUCCGUGCCCUGACUACUGAACUAGGGAGCUGAUUGAGAUGCACCCUAAGUCUGUGUAGCACUUUUGAUAAGACACACAAUAUAGUGUAAAAAUGCAAGUAAAGUUUUGACAGCUCUUUAUUUACACGUUUUGAUUUAAUACUUUGUACGUCAAAAUAAACUUCUAAAUGUCUGUUCAAGCAGUAUGCAACACUUAAAAUCUUACUACCAAAUUAUAUGUAAUAUCUAAUUAAUAUAAUUUACACUC
Long non-coding RNA from Megalobrama amblycephala (Wuchang bream), 1767 nucleotides. RefSeq lists it as uncharacterized. NCBI's taxonomy places the organism in Eukaryota, Metazoa, Chordata, Actinopteri, Cypriniformes, Xenocyprididae. The transcript is spliced from 3 exons. The record is from RefSeq and is a predicted model, not a curated record.